RNAcentral lists this non-coding RNA (561 nucleotides) under Pongo abelii (Sumatran orangutan). Lineage: Eukaryota; Metazoa; Chordata; Mammalia; Primates; Hominidae. The record is from RNAcentral.
AAAAAUUCACACUGCAGUAUGUACAGUUUCAUGACAUCAUAUGAAGAAAUUAAAUUUCUAAUAAAAAUGGCAAAUUAUAUUACUGAGCAGAUCGCAUCAAACUUGGUUGUAAACACCAGAAUUCUUACUAUGAAUGGUAAUGUGCCUAUAUUCCAGUAUUGCUAAUACUGCGAUACUCUUGGAAUAAUAUUUGCAAUGGGAUUACAAAAUUCAUGAAAGUAGUUGUGUGAAUUCUUUACGUUUAAAAGUGGCUGAUGAUUAAAAAAAUUCUUUAAUAAGACCCUUGGAUUCAAAGCACAUUCUUUCACAAAGCUUAAACCACAGACGUCAUGUCCAGAAAUGGAAUACUGUCAUGUUGCGAUGAACAUCUGAUCUGAUUUGUUAAGACAUUUUGCCAAAUGCACAGAUGCACAGGGUUUAAAGAAAUAUAUAUUGAAAAGGAGCAGGGUGGGACAGACAUAUUGGGAACCACAAAACCUCUUCCAAGAGUUAAAAAUAAACAUUUUUUUUUCUUUUUAGCAAAAGUGAAAAAUGUAAGCAUAUAUUUUUCUAAUUUAUUUU